This 602-nucleotide ribosomal RNA is filed under the name uncultured Tomentella. RNAcentral describes it as "eukaryotic LSU rRNA". The stretch from base 177 to 331 matches the Rfam family "5.8S ribosomal RNA". The record is from RNAcentral. Lineage: Eukaryota; Fungi; Basidiomycota; Agaricomycetes; Thelephorales; Thelephoraceae.
GCUGGUCUUCAACGGGGACAUGUGCACGCUCUGUUUACACAUCCACUCACACCUGUGCACCCUCCGUAGUUCUAUGGUCUGGGGGACCCUGUCUUCCUGCCGUGGUUCUACGUCUUUACACACACUCUGUAAUAAAGUCUUAUGGAAUGUAUGCCGCGUCUAACGCAAUACAAUACAACUUUCAGCAACGGAUCUCUUGGCUCUCGCAUCGAUGAAGAACGCAGCGAAAUGCGAUAAGUAAUGUGAAUUGCAGAAUUCAGUGAAUCAUCGAAUCUUUGAACGCACCUUGCGCCCCUUGGCUAUUCCGAGGGGCAUGCCUGUUUGAGUAUCAUGAACACCUCAACUCUCAUGGUUCGCCAUGAUGAGCUUGGACUCUGGGGGUUUUGCUGGCCUGUGGUCGGCUCCCCUCAAAUGAAUCAGCCUCCCAGUGUUUGGUGGCAUCACGGGUGUGAUAAAUAUCUACGCUCGCGGUUGUCUGCCAGGUAACCUUUGGUGACAAAGGUUCGCUGGAGCUCACAGAUGUCUCUCCUCGGCGAGGACAGCUUUUUUGAACGUUCGAUCUCAAAUCAGGUAGGACUACCCGCUGAACUUAAGCAUACAUA